CUACGGGUGGCUGCAGUUAGGAAUCUUUUGCAAUGCGCGAAAGCGUGACAGAGCGAGCCAUAGUGCUUUCCAUUAGGAAAGCUUUUGUCGAAUGUAAAAAGUUCGGCGAAUAAGGACUGGGCAAGACUAGUGCCAGCCGCCGCGGUAAUACUAGCUGUUCAAGUCGCAGCCAUUUUUAUUGGGUCUAAAACAUCCGUAGCUCGCUUGGUGAGUUUCCUGUGAAAUUUCAAUUCUAAAAAUUGGAGCGUGCAGGAAGUACUGCCGAGCUAGAGACUGGUAGACGGAAGGAGUACGUUCAAAGUAGUGGUAAAAUACGUUAAUCUUGGACGGACUAACAAUAGCGAAGGCAUCUUCCGAGAACAGUUCUGACAGUAAGGGAUGAAAGCCAGGGGCGCAAAACGGAUUAGAUACCCUCGUAGUC
RNAcentral lists this ribosomal RNA (421 nucleotides) under uncultured archaeon. Its description in RNAcentral is "partial 16S ribosomal RNA". It matches the Rfam family "Archaeal small subunit ribosomal RNA", at positions 323 to 746 of the family's 1478-position model. The record is from RNAcentral.